AUUUCUCUUCUUUAGUGGUUUUCCUGAUAUGUCCUGAUUCUUGGAUUUGUCACUGAUAAUUCACGAAGUUGUCAAAGAAAACGUCAUCUCAGAAAAACCAUUGAAGGAGAGAAAUU
Molecule: non-coding RNA, 116 nt
Organism: Paramuricea clavata
Lineage: Eukaryota; Metazoa; Cnidaria; Anthozoa; Malacalcyonacea; Plexauridae
Source: the annotation of a GenBank genome assembly